RNAcentral lists this ribosomal RNA (280 nucleotides) under uncultured cyanobacterium. Its description in RNAcentral is "partial 16S ribosomal RNA". It matches the Rfam family "Bacterial small subunit ribosomal RNA", at positions 338 to 635 of the family's 1533-position model. Lineage: Bacteria; Bacillati; Cyanobacteriota. The record is from RNAcentral.
CCUACGGGAGGCAGCAGUGGGGAAUUUUCCGCAAUGGGCGAAAGCCUGACGGAGCAAUACCGCGUGAGGGACGAAGGUCUGUGGAUUGUAAACCUCUUUUGUCAGGGACGAUAAUGACGGUACCUGACGAAUAAGCAUCGGCUAACUCCGUGCCAGCAGCCGCGGUAAGACGGAGGAUGCAAGCGUUAUCCGGAAUUAUUGGGCGUAAAGCGUACGCAGGUGGCUGGUCAAGUCUUUUGUCAAAGCGUGAGGCUUAACCUCAUAAAGGCAGAAGAAACUG